UUCUGCACCACGGGAACACAAUCCACCAUGAGCACAAGUCCUGCUGCCCUGGUCUGGGGACAAAUCAUACAUCCUGAGUUUUCAAGUGUGAACCUUCAGUGCCGUAAAAGGCCAGAGAGCAGCUCGCUGCUACACCCAUGCUGUAGGCACAUGCGGGAAGCCCUGAAAACUCCAUGUGCAAAGCCGCAGCACGCCCGCUGACGACAGGAGGGAAAGGAACUAAGAAUCCUACCGCUACCACAGAAUGUCUUCUAGUGAAUGUAGAGCAUCUUUGAAUGAGGAGUCAGAGAACUCGCAAGGACUGGUGUUAAAUGAGAAAGAAGCUGACCAGGCUCACUCAUAUCCCAGCUUUGACAAGGACUGUGGAGAUCAUCUGACAGCUCCAGGGCAGCUCUGGCUUGUGCCUGUGCCCAGAACAGAAUUAU
Pogoniulus pusillus (Red-fronted tinkerbird) is the source of this 425-nucleotide long non-coding RNA. RefSeq lists it as uncharacterized. The transcript is spliced from 3 exons. The record is from RefSeq and is a predicted model, not a curated record. Lineage: Eukaryota; Metazoa; Chordata; Aves; Piciformes; Lybiidae.